UACAGAGGGUGCAAGCGUUAAUCGGAAUUACUGGGCGUAAAGCGUGCGCAGGCGGUUUUGUAAGACAGGCGUGAAAUCCCCGGGCUCAACCUGGGAACUGCGUUUGUGACUGCAAGGCUAGAGUAUGGCAGAGGGGGGUGGAAUUCCACGUGUAGCAGUGAAAUGCGUAGAGAUGUGGAGGAACACCGAUGGCGAAGGCAGCCCCCUGGGCCAAUACUGACGCUCAUACACGAAAGCGUGGGUAGCAAACAGGAUUAGAUACCCCAGUAGU
This 271-nucleotide ribosomal RNA is filed under the name uncultured bacterium. RNAcentral describes it as "partial 16S ribosomal RNA". It matches the Rfam family "Bacterial small subunit ribosomal RNA", at positions 524 to 794 of the family's 1533-position model. The record is from RNAcentral.